GGGUGAUAUCUGUCAGAUUACACUCAUGAGUUACCACCAGGUGAGUGGCUUGAGAGCCUCAUAACAUUGAGAUACUCUUGAGCGCAGUGUGCGCUGGAUUGUAUGCGAAAGAGAAAGUCAAAAGUGUAAAAUACUGUGAAAAUGGUGGACAAACUAGUAAACUCGGAGGCAAACGCCCGCCGAAUACAGAUGGUGGAAAACUGCUUCGGCAGCUCGGGCCAGCCACUGUACGUUCCGGGACGUGUCCUGGUCGGCGAGGGCGUCCUCACAAAGAUGUGCCGCAAGCGUCCAAAGGCCCGGCAGUUCUUCCUGUUCAACGACAUCCUCGUGUACGGCAACAUCGUAAUCGGCAAGAAAAAGUACAACAAACAACACUUGAUACCACUGGAGGAGGUACAGCUGCAAACCCUGGAGGACAACGGACAAUAUCGAAACGGUUGGCUGAUACGAACCGCAACCAAGUCGUUUGCCGUUUAUGCGGCAACACAAACCGAAAAGCAAGAGUGGAUGGCCCAUAUAAACAAAUGCAUCGAGGAUUUGCUACGAAAAAGUGGCAAAAAGCCCGUCGAGACUCAUGCCGCUGUCUGGGUUCCGGACAGUGAGGCCAACAUUUGCAUGCACUGCAAGAAAACGCAAUUUACCAUGUUGAUUCGAAGGCAUCACUGUCGAAACUGUGGCGCGGUCGUGUGCGGACCGUGCUCGUCGAAGAAGUUUGUCCUAGCCGGACAGAGCACGAAGCCGUUGCGCGUAUGUCUGGACUGUUACGAUAGCCUGAGCUCGAUGAAGCGGGAAGAGAGCAAAGGCAUUUCGGCCAACAACAACAAACCAGUCACGUCGCCAGAGAGUUCCGGUGAUGAUGACUCGGACGAUGAGGAGGAAUCGAAGGAUACACAUGAUCAGAGCUUUAGAAGUCACUGCACGCCACCGACGACGGUCGUGUGUGUAUGAUAGAAGGAGAAGGAGAAGCGGAGGAGUGACCAGGUGACAGGAAUAGGCGGUAAAAGUAGUGCGGGGAGAGUGACCAACAAACCUCUUCGCUUCAUGCAUCGAAUUUUGCAAACAUGAAGUGUAACACGAAAUAGGCUUAACGGUGAUAGUGGUUUUAUUCCUUUUUCGCUCUGACGUAAUGUCGUUAUUUUUUGCAAGAGGAUCCCGCAGAGAAGAAGAAAAAAAUUGACCAAUAACCCAAGUUUUACGGAGAUGAGAAACCUGAAAAGUAGCCCCAACAAAGCGGAAGCAACCCUCCCACAAAAAAGCCAGAUUUGUGCAAAAGUCUCACCAAUAACAAAAACAACAACAAUCGUGCACGGAAUGCAGAAACUUUCCACAGAAAACAUUUCAAAAGAGGCGAAACUUGUCUAAGCUUGCGUUUGGCACACUUUCUGUCGUUGAUUUAAUAUUUUAUUUUCUAUGAGUGUUCGCAUUUAGCAAAAUACAAGCAAAUGAAACCAACAACCUCCUUUUGAAAUGUUGUUUUGCAGUUAUUAUUUUAGCCUACAGACAGUGUACGUAGAAACGAGUAUUUUAUCUGUUUAGAGUUAGAACCCCGCAAAUUCCUCCUUGAUCAGCGUGGAUUUAGUUGAUGUCCUUCUUCAAACUAUAAAACAACCUACUUUCCACUCAUUGAAAAAUGAACAUUCGGUAUUGGUAACGGUUUUUAAGGAAAAAUUACGCCUCAGCGAUUACGAAAGAGCAAAUUUUGGCUACCUCCGUCAAACUUAAUUCAACCGCUUGAAAAUAUAAAAUCUAGUUAUCAUUAUAUUAAAUAUUUGUUUUACUCAUGUUCUAAACAUCUUUCAUUUAGUUACAUCUCAAAGUACACUGAAUAAAAAUUAUGGCUGAAUGAAACGUAAAACGGGAAACUCUUUGAAAAAGAAAACCAUUUAGCACGACCCAUUGUAUAAAAUGUCAUUUAUCCAUUUAUUAGAUUCGACGACCCUAAAAGGCUUUUCCUAUCCAUGUUGCACGAUAUUCAUUACGAUUUAAUUGAAAGGAUAUUCUCAACAUUUCUGUCCUUGCUUUUCCUGUACUAUUGUCAAAGAUAAAUCCGCGAGUUGUUUGAAGAAUGGUUUCAGAUCGUUUUCAUAUUCUUACACUAAAUCAUGGAAUCGGUGUUCGUCCAAGCGUUUAAUAAAAAAAACUCUUAACACCUUUUCAAGGCAGAUGUAGGAUAGAGCUUGUCUCGAUUUUCAAGUGUUUACACCUUUCUUUAUCAAUAUAACAUGCUAUUAUUCGUUAAGUUAAUCAAAUCAAGAUGUAUAUGAAUAAUAUUUAACAGUAUAAAUAAAACAUAGAAAAUUGCUCAUA
RNA transcript from Culex pipiens pallens (northern house mosquito), 2307 nucleotides. It is a transcript of the gene named pleckstrin homology domain-containing family F member 1 homolog, with no coding region annotated. The record is from RefSeq and is a predicted model, not a curated record. NCBI's taxonomy places the organism in Eukaryota, Metazoa, Arthropoda, Insecta, Diptera, Culicidae. The transcript is spliced from 8 exons.